Lepus europaeus (European hare) is the source of this 765-nucleotide long non-coding RNA. RefSeq lists it as uncharacterized. The transcript is spliced from 3 exons. Lineage: Eukaryota; Metazoa; Chordata; Mammalia; Lagomorpha; Leporidae. The record is from RefSeq and is a predicted model, not a curated record.
CCGGGAGCACGCGCGCCGAGCUCACCUGAACGAACGCGCGGGCCGCGGGGAGCCCCGCCGCCGGCGCCCGGGGCGGGAGGGCCACUGUGCAUCCUCCCUCCCGACACCGCCAAGCACCGGGACCUUCUGGGAAGAUCCCCCACGUCGCCUGCCCUCCUGCUGUUCCCAAACGUCAGCGUGUCGUUACCGCACUCCGGUACCCACGGCGCAGGGCCCCCUCAUUCUUGGAUAAGCAGGAACAGAAAGGAAGAGGGGAAGAGAACCCCAUUCUCUCGCAAACAAGCUCUAGCCCUUUGGGGAACUUGCAGUGAUGGAGGUGUGCAGUGAGAGCUGGAGCAACGUCACAGCGUGGAGCCGGCGUCAAGUCACAGCUCGGUCCCUGUCUUCCCUGGCAGCCUCCUGUCUCAGAGAUGCAUCUUGCACUGUCGUAGUGACACUGACACUAUGUUUUCCGCUUGUUUGAUCAAAGUGUUGAGGAGGAUGGUGAUGAUGGUAAAAGCUCUCUUCCAAUUCUUAUUAGAGACUAUAAAUGACUUAUUUUGGCUUUUUUUUCUUUUUUUUUGCUCCUCUUUCAUUCUCAAAAAUAUCCCCAAAUUAUUCCAGCAUUCAGAGGCUUUUCACACUUGGUGAUUAAUUUAAUCUGCUUUCAUUUUUAUAGACUGUAGGGUGGGGUGGGUGUGCCACACACCACUCCAAAAUUCACCAUCUGCCAUGGGUCUUAACCUCCUCCUCACUCUCUCGCCCUCCCCUCUUAAUUCAGUGUGG